Molecule: ribosomal RNA, 440 nt
Filed under: uncultured bacterium
Lineage: Bacteria
Description: bacterial SSU rRNA
Rfam family: Bacterial small subunit ribosomal RNA
Source: RNAcentral
ACUCAAGAACGAACGCUGGCGGCAUGCCUAACACAUGCAAGUCGAACGAGACCUUCGGGUCUAGUGGCGCACGGGUGCGUAACGCGUGGGAAUCUGCCCUUAGGUUCGGAAUAACUUCGGGAAACUGAAGCUAAUACCGGAUGAUGACGUAAGUCCAAAGAUUUAUCGCCUAAGGAUGAGCCCGCGUUGGAUUAGCUAGUUGGUGAGGUAAAGACUCACCAAGGCGACGAUCCUUAGCUGGUCUGAGAGGAUGAUCAGCCACACUGGGACUGAGACACGGCCCAGACUCCUACGGGAGGCAGCAGUGGGGAAUAUUGGACAAUGGGCGAAAGCCUGAUCCAGCAAUGCCGCGUGAGUGAUGAAGGCCUUCGGGUUGUAAAGCUCUUUUACUCGGGACGAUAAUGACGGUACCGAGAGAAUAAGCCCCGGCUAACUCCGUG